GAUGAACGCUGGCGGCGUGCCUAAUACAUGCAAGUCGAGCGAACAGACGAGGAGCUUGCUCCUCUGACGUUAGCGGCGGACGGGUGAGUAACACGUGGAUAACCUACCUAUAAGACUGGGAUAACUUCGGGAAACCGGAGCUAAUACCGGAUAAUAUAUUGAACCGCAUGGUUCAAUAGUGAAAGACGGUUUUGCUGUCACUUAUAGAUGGAUCCGCGCCGCAUUAGCUAGUUGGUAAGGUAACGGCUUACCAAGGCAACGAUGCGUAGCCGACCUGAGAGGGUGAUCGGCCACACUGGAACUGAGACACGGUCCAGACUCCUACGGGAGGCAGCAGUAGGGAAUCUUCCGCAAUGGGCGAAAGCCCGACGGAGCAACGCCGCGUGAGUGAUGAAGGUCUUCGGAUCGUAAAACUCUGUUAUUAGGGAAGAACAAAUGUGUAAGUAACUAUGCACGUCUUGACGGUACCUAAUCAGAAAACCACGGCUAACUACGUG
This 497-nucleotide ribosomal RNA is filed under the name uncultured bacterium. Its description in RNAcentral is "partial 16S ribosomal RNA". It matches the Rfam family "Bacterial small subunit ribosomal RNA", at positions 28 to 507 of the family's 1533-position model. The record is from RNAcentral.